GCAACCUACCUUAUACGAGGGGAAUAACCUUUCGAAAGGGAAGACUAACACCCAUAGUAUUGAUUUAAGGCAUCGUUAGAUUAAGUUAAAUAUUUAUAGGUAUAAGAUGGGCAUGCGUAUGAUUAGCUAGUUGGUAAGGUAACGGCGUUAACCAAGGCGACGAUCAUUAGGGGUUCUGAGAGGAAGGUCCCCCACACUGGUACUGAGACACGGACCAGACUCCUACGGGAGGCAGCAGUGAGGAAUAUUGGUCAAGUGGGCGCAAGCCUGAACCAGCCAUGCCGCGUGCAGGAAGAACCGGCCUUAUGGGUUGUAACUGCUUUUACAUAAGACUAACCGUAUAUUUGCGAAUAUACCUGAAUGUAUUAUGAGAAUAAGGAUCGGCUAACUCCGUGCCAGCAGCAGC
Molecule: ribosomal RNA, 406 nt
Filed under: uncultured bacterium
Lineage: Bacteria
Description: bacterial SSU rRNA
Rfam family: Bacterial small subunit ribosomal RNA
Source: RNAcentral